CUAAAACGACUCUCGGCAACGGAUAUCUCGGCUCACGCAUCGAUGAAGAACGUAGCAAAAUGCGAUACUUGGUGUGAAUUGCAGAAUCCCGUGAACCAUCGAGUUUUUGAACGCAAGUUGCGCCCGAAGCCAUCCGGUUGAGGGCACGUCUGCCUGGGCGUCACGCAUCAC
Molecule: ribosomal RNA, 171 nt
Filed under: Ambrosia deltoidea
Lineage: Eukaryota; Viridiplantae; Streptophyta; Magnoliopsida; Asterales; Asteraceae
Description: 5.8S ribosomal RNA
Rfam family: 5.8S ribosomal RNA
About the family: 5.8S ribosomal RNA (5.8S rRNA) is a component of the large subunit of the eukaryotic ribosome.
Source: RNAcentral